Small nucleolar RNA from Prolemur simus (greater bamboo lemur), 104 nucleotides. Lineage: Eukaryota; Metazoa; Chordata; Mammalia; Primates; Lemuridae. The record is from Ensembl.
ACCCUUUUGUAGUUUCUAAGUGUGAUGACUGGGUGUUCAUGUGCACGUGUGAGAUGUGCCUCCCUUAAACUUUGUUACAACAUCAGCACAUUACCCAUCUGACG